UGGGGAAUAUUGCACAAUGGGCGAAAGCCUGAUGCAGCGACGCCGCGUGAGGGAUGACGGCCUUCGGGUUGUAAACCUCUUUCAGCAGGGAAGAAGCGAAAGUGACGGUACCUGCAGAAGAAGCGCCGGCUAACUACGUGCCAGCAGCCGCGGUAAUACGUAGGGCGCAAGCGUUGUCCGGAAUUAUUGGGCGUAAAGAGCUCGUAGGCGGUCUGUCGCGUCGGAUGUGAAAGCCCGGGGCUUAACCCCGGGUCUGCAUUCGAUACGGGCAGACUAGAGUGUGGUAGAGGAGAUCGGAAUUCCUGGUGUAACGGUGAAAUGCGCAGAUAUCAGGAGGAACACCGGUGGCGAAGGCGGAUCUCUGGGCCAUUACUGACGCUGAGGAGCGAAAGCGUGGGGAGCGAACAGG
Molecule: ribosomal RNA, 409 nt
Filed under: Bacillota bacterium
Lineage: Bacteria; Bacillati; Bacillota
Description: Firmicutes bacterium partial 16S ribosomal RNA
Rfam family: Bacterial small subunit ribosomal RNA
Source: RNAcentral